CGCACCUACGGGGGGCAGCAGUGGGGGAUAUUGGACAAUGGGGGAAACCCUGAUCCAGCGACGCCGCGUGAGUGAAGAAGUAUUUCGGUAUGUAAAGCUCUAUCAGCAGGGAAGAAAGAAAUGACGGUACCUGAGUAAGAAGCCCUGGCUAACUACGUGCCAGCAGCCGCGGUAAUACGUAGGGGGCAAGCGUUAUCCGGAUUUAUUGGGUGUAAAGGGUGCGUAGACGGGAAAACAAGUUAGUUGUGAAAUCCCUCGGCUUAACUGAGGAACUGCAACUAAAACUAUUGUUCUUGAGUGUUGGG
RNAcentral lists this ribosomal RNA (305 nucleotides) under uncultured bacterium. RNAcentral's name for it is "bacterial SSU rRNA". It matches the Rfam family "Bacterial small subunit ribosomal RNA", at positions 334 to 653 of the family's 1533-position model. The record is from RNAcentral.